UUUCCUAUUAACCAUUAAAUUAAAGGGAUUAUUAGACAUUAUGAUCUUUGGGAGAGCUGUAGGGUGUGUUAAUUAGAUCUAUAAUUACCACUGCUUAAAGAAAAACAGAGCAAAAAAAGCCCUACAGAUAAUGUCUGUCUGCUUUCAUUGUAAUGAAAUUAUUCCUGUAGGACAUGGGAUUAAUUUCAGGCUUUAACUAAUGUUUAUGCUGUUUUUCUCACUUUUCCUUUUGAUGGUGCUGAAAGAGAAAAAGGAAAGCGAGUCACAGGCCACUCACCGCCUACUCCAUGGGUCUGAUUUGCUGAGACACCAACUUCACCUUCCUAACAAGGUGCAGCUCAAAAGAAGAUGAUGACUACCAGAAGACAUGAACAAAGGGUAAGUGGCAUUAAACCUCUGAAGAACCUUUAUCUGUAUAUUGAGCUGUACACAGAAGGCUGACCAGCCUGUGGCACUACUGGAGAUAGAGCGAUCUUCUACAGUAUGUGUAAAAUUGUAACUCGGGUGGAGAAUGCUUGGAAGCAGCAAUUGCUUGACAUUA
This 541-nucleotide long non-coding RNA is filed under the name Columba livia (rock pigeon). Its description in RNAcentral is "partial uncharacterized LOC106145786". The record is from RNAcentral. Lineage: Eukaryota; Metazoa; Chordata; Aves; Columbiformes; Columbidae.